AGCGUACGUAGGCGGAUCGGAAAGUUGGCGGUGAAAUCCCAGGGCUCAACCCAGGAACUGCCUUGAAAACUACCGGUCUAGAGUUCGAGAGAGGUGAGUGGAAUUCCAAGUGUAGAGGUGAAAUUCGUAGAUAUUUGGAGGAACACCAGUGGCGAAGGCGGCUCACUGGCUCGAUACUGACGCUGAGGUACGAAAGUGUGGGGAGCAAACAGGAUUAGAUACCCUGGUAGUCCACACCGUAAACGAUGAAUGCCAGUCGUCGGGCAGUAUACUGUUCGGUGACACACCUAACGGAUUAAGCAUUCCGCCUGGGGAGUACGGUCGCAAGAUUAAAACUCAAAGGAAUUGACGG
This 352-nucleotide ribosomal RNA is filed under the name Sulfitobacter pontiacus. Its description in RNAcentral is "bacterial SSU rRNA". It matches the Rfam family "Bacterial small subunit ribosomal RNA", at positions 564 to 916 of the family's 1533-position model. Lineage: Bacteria; Pseudomonadati; Pseudomonadota; Alphaproteobacteria; Rhodobacterales; Roseobacteraceae. The record is from RNAcentral.